Molecule: ribosomal RNA, 418 nt
Filed under: uncultured bacterium
Lineage: Bacteria
Description: bacterial SSU rRNA
Rfam family: Bacterial small subunit ribosomal RNA
Source: RNAcentral
GAAUAUUGGGCAAUGGACGAGAGUCUGACCCAGCCAUGCCGCGUGCAGGAAGACGGCGUUAUGCGUUGUAAACUGCUUUUAUCUGGGAAGAAAAAGUCCAUGCGUGGAAAAUUGCCGGUACCAGAUGAAUAAGCACCGGCUAACUCCGUGCCAGCAGCCGCGGUAAUACGGAGGGUGCAAGCGUUGUCCGGAUUUAUUGGGUUUAAAGGGUGCGUAGGCGGCUCUUUAAGUCAGUGGUGAAAGACCCCGGCUCAACCGGGGCAGUGCCAUUGAUACUGGGGAGCUUGAGUGUUGGAGGGGUACAUGGAAUUGAUGGUGUAGCGGUGAAAUGCAUAGAUACCAUCAGGAACACCGAUAGCGAAGGCAUUGUACUGGCCAACAACUGACGCUGAGGCACGAAAGCAUGGGUAGCGAACAG